GCAGCGGGGCUGGACAGGAAACGACGGAGCUCCUCAUCAGCUCCUCGCUGCUCAGCUCCGGGAGGGAAGAAUGGGAAAAGGCGACGGGACGAGGCAGCGUGUGGAGACAUGAAGACAACGGGCUGUUUUUAAACUAACUCACAUCUUUAUAAAAACAGAUAGACACACUUAAACCGCCGGGACUUUUCUGCUAUUCUCCUCCAUCCGAGGGCUGGAGGGAGAUUUCGCUCCCGUUGGAAAACGCAGCCUCCUCUUUGUGAGUCUCAUUUUCCCUGGGAUAAAGAACCCGGUCGGGAAGUGGAGUGGAGGAUUUGUCUGACCUUAAACCUCAAAAGGAAGGAGAUCAAGUCACUUCAGAGAUGGAGCAGGUAUCAGAUGAUGAGUUGGACCAUGGAGCAGAGGAGGACAGUGAUAAGGAGGACCAAGACCUGGACAAGAUGUUUGGAGCCUGGCUGGGAGAACUGGACAAGCUCACACAGAGUCUGGAUGACGGCAGGCCACAGAAAGCACUGCAGAAGCCUC
Paralichthys olivaceus (Japanese flounder) is the source of this 522-nucleotide non-coding RNA. The record is from RefSeq and is a predicted model, not a curated record. NCBI's taxonomy places the organism in Eukaryota, Metazoa, Chordata, Actinopteri, Pleuronectiformes, Paralichthyidae.